AGUGAACGCUGGCGGUAGGCCUAACACAUGCAAGUCGAACGGCAGCACAGUAAGAGCUUGCUCUUACGGGUGGCGAGUGGCGGACGGGUGAGGAAUACAUCGGAAUCUACUUUUUCGUGGGGGAUAACGUAGGGAAACUUACGCUAAUACCGCAUACGACCUACGGGUGAAAGCAGGGGAUCUUCGGACCUUGCGCGAUUGAAUUAGCCGAUGUCGGAUUAGCUAGUUUGCGGGGUAAAGGCCCACCAAGGCGACGAUCCGUAGCUGGUCUGAGAGGAUGAUCAGCCACACUGGAACUGAGACACGGGCCAGACUCCUACGGGAGGCAGCAGGGGGGAAUAUUGGAGAAUGGGCGCAAGCCUGAUCCAGCCAUACCGGGUGGGUGAAGAAGGCCUUCGGGUUGUAAAGCCCUUUUGUUGGGAAAGAAAAGCAGCAGGUUAAUACCCCGCUGUUCUGACGGUACCCAAAGAAUAAGCACCGGCUAACUUCGUG
RNAcentral lists this ribosomal RNA (492 nucleotides) under uncultured bacterium. Its description in RNAcentral is "partial 16S ribosomal RNA". It matches the Rfam family "Bacterial small subunit ribosomal RNA", at positions 29 to 507 of the family's 1533-position model. The record is from RNAcentral.